AUACUUACACCUGGCAGGGGAGAUAGCAUGAUCACGAAGGUGGUUUCCCCAGGGCGAGGCUUAUCCAUUGCACUCCGGAUACACUGAUCCCUGUAAUUUCCCCACAUGUGGGAAACUCGACUGCAUAAUUUGUGGUAGUGGGGUACUGCAUUCAUGCUCUCCCCUG
Small nuclear RNA from Echinops telfairi (small Madagascar hedgehog), 166 nucleotides. Its record names the gene U1. It matches the Rfam family "U1 spliceosomal RNA". Rfam says of the family: U1 is a small nuclear RNA (snRNA) component of the spliceosome (involved in pre-mRNA splicing). Its 5' end forms complementary base pairs with the 5' splice junction, thus defining the 5' donor site of an intron. The record is from Ensembl. Lineage: Eukaryota; Metazoa; Chordata; Mammalia; Afrosoricida; Tenrecidae.